GUGGAGGAUAACCUCGGGAAACUGAGAAUAAUACUCCAUAGGUUUAGGAGGCUGGAAUGCACUUAAACCAAAAACUUCGGUGCCCUAGGAUGAGUCUGCGGACUAUCAGGUAGUAGUCAGGGUAAUGACCUGACUAGCCUACGACGGAUAUGGGUUGUGAGAGCAAUAACCCAGAGAUGAUAUCUGAGACACGAUAUCAGGCCCUACGGGGCGCAGCAGGCGCGAAAACUUCACAAUGUGCGAAAGCGCGAUGAGGGAAUCCCAAGUGCUCGCACGUAAGUGUAAGCUGUUUCUCUGUAUAAAAAGCAGAUAGAGUAAGGGCUGGGUAAGACGGGUGCCAGCCGCCGCGGUAAUACCUGCAGCUCAAGUGGUGGUCGUUAUUAUUGGGCCUAAAACGUUC
RNAcentral lists this ribosomal RNA (400 nucleotides) under uncultured archaeon. Its description in RNAcentral is "bacterial SSU rRNA". It matches the Rfam family "Archaeal small subunit ribosomal RNA", at positions 119 to 520 of the family's 1478-position model. The record is from RNAcentral.